CAGAACCAUUCUCCCCCGCAUACCUCUGCCUGCGCCCUGCGAGUCUUCCCUCGCUUCCAUUCCUCAUUCUGUUCUCCGAGAGAUCUCGUUCUCCGAUGAUCGCCGGUUCUUCGCCGCCGGUCAUCACAUCCCACCUCGGCAGUUCCCAGUUCCCACCACCAGAUCGCCACGAUGCAACCGGAGCCACCUACGCCAUCCGGAGGCACGACGCCCCUCCGCCCGCGCGCCGACAUCACGAAGGGCCUCCCUCGCCACGACGCCGUGCUGUACUGCCCGUCGUGCUGGGCCUACCGCCAACCCCCGGCGUCCUGGGUCCGCCGCGAGCCGCGGUCCUGGAUGAGCACUACGCCGGGUACGGCUAACGACGUAGCAAGAAUCCACCUCGACCGCGUGCGCCGCCACAUCGCCGGCCUCGGUCUCACGAUCGCCGCCGCGAGGUCCUUCUCCACCACGGCCUGCCCCAGGCGCUUCUACCUACACCUCCGCCUUCGCCGCGGGCACGAGGCGGGAACGGAGCCGCAGGCGCACGUCGUCGAGCUCACCUCGCACGACCGCCUCUGUGACGCCUGCAGCCGGUCCCAGGCCGACCCGGACCGAUGGCCCGCCGUCGUGCAGGUGCGCCAGCGCGCGUCAACGUCGUCGUCGUGCCGCCGCACGCUCAACCACGUCAUGUCGCUGCUCGUCUGCUACCGCGGCAACGACUCGCUCCUCCGCGUGGACUGGGACGCGGGCGCCGGGGUCCUCGACGUGCACGUCGUGUCGCGCGCCCACGCCGCCCGCUUCGUCCGCUUCGUCUCGACCGUCGCGCCCGCCCGCGUCGUCGGCACGGCGCGGAGGCUCGUCUCGCGCGACGGCGAGGGCAGCCCCUACAGAUUGCACUUCAUCUCCGUGGACAUCUGCCCGGUCUGCGAGGAUGACCUCGUCCUCCUGCACGCGGAGGCGUCCCGCGCCCUCGGCCGCCUGGGGCCCCUCGUCCUGUGCAUCAAGGUCACCAGCUCGCUCGCGCUGCUCGACACCGGCAACAUGCGCGUCGUGGUGGUAGGCGUCGAGGCGUGCGAGCGGUUCAGGAUCCAGCCCUUGCUCGACCGCGGCCGCCUCGUCGAGUACGUCGUGCUUGGCGUGCAACACGACCCGUCCGGCCACGUCGCGGCGCUCGGUGCGAGCUUCAUGAUGUCGUGGGCGCAGGUCGUCCGCUCGUCGGACGUGGGCAAGAAGGACGCCGCCGUCAUCACCGUGAAGACGCACCUCGGCUACGACCUGGAGCCUGGGUGCCACGCGCUCGGCUACGACCUCUCCGGAGACGACGUCUUCGGCCAUGGCUUGGAGAAGUAUGGGAAGAGACACACGUUGCCAGCUGCGGUGCUUACUCGGAGGUACUACGACGAUGACGAGGACUGGGAGGAGAGCGCAGGCGGGAUGCAGGACGGCAGGGAGGGACGUCGCGGCGGCGGCGGGAUUGAAGAGGUUACCACGGGUAUUGGAUGCAUGGACCUGAACCCGGCCGACGACAAGAACACCACAGUACCAUGACACCAUUCCAUCGGCUAUGAGUAGCGAGUAAGCGACAAGUGUUUCAUGUAGUACCACCAACAUUAAUCCACGGCUGUUGUUGACUCUUAUUCUAAUGAAUCAUAAGCCAUGCAUUAGAUGACUCUAGUCAUACCUUAGUCUAAAAAUCUAUCACUGGAGUUAUACAUGUAGCAGUGCUCAUGAGUAGAUAGCGAGUUG
This 1728-nucleotide unclassified non-coding RNA is filed under the name Zea mays. RNAcentral describes it as "misc RNA Zm00001eb362530". The record is from RNAcentral. Lineage: Eukaryota; Viridiplantae; Streptophyta; Magnoliopsida; Poales; Poaceae.